Molecule: long non-coding RNA, 2739 nt
Organism: Ailuropoda melanoleuca (giant panda)
Lineage: Eukaryota; Metazoa; Chordata; Mammalia; Carnivora; Ursidae
Exons: 5
Source: RefSeq, a predicted model, not a curated record
CGGGGCGCCCCCGCGCCGGGGAGUUCGGGGUGGCUGACGUGUGACCCCCCGCCCGCCCUGCCGGAGGCGGGGCCGGAGCUGGGGGCCGCCCUGUCCCCCCGGGGUGCCGGCGAGGCGCGGGGGGCGCGCGCCCAGUGAGUGCUGGAGGUGGGGGCCUGGAGGGGCGGCCCGUCCCGACGUCGGUGCUGUGAUGACCGGCUGCAGUGUUACUAGAAGUUCCUCCAUGAGUGUCCACUGUGUGCCUGGCACCGAGCCCGCAGCGCGGUCCUCCUGCCCCCAAGCCGGAGUGUGCACUGAGCUCCAAGUUGAGCCUGCCCUCCGGCCCUAAGAGCCGCCACACCGAGGCCCCUCAAGCCCACGUCUCCCGGGCUGCCUGCUCCAGGGCCGGCUUUCUCUCCAGGAAAGCUGCCCAGGCCGCCAGCCGCUGAGUCUUCAGCUGUGGCUGGCGGUUGCUUCUCAGUCUGCGGUUGCUCCCGCGCCCAGACUGAGAGAUGGCAACCCGGGAGGCUGAGGAUCGGCCAGUAGCCCUCCCAGGAGAGCGGGGCAGGAGCAGACCCAUGCUAGAGAGAGACAUCCCAGGUGGCCUGUGAGAGAAGGGGAGGGGAGCCGGUCUUCUGAGCCCCCCCAAAGUUUUUAAACAGUGCUGUGAUGAACGUGUCUGAUGAUAUGGGAGCCCCGCCCCCACCCCUCAUCCACAGGGGAUGCGCUCCAGGACUCCCACUGGCCGCCUGAAACCACCGAUAGUGCCCAUCCCUCUACAGACGGCGUUCUCCCCCCAUACGUACGUACCUGGGAUUACGCUCAGCUUACAAACUAGGCACCGGAAGGGAGCAACAACAUAAUAAUAAACUAGAACAUAACCGUACGCUGUGAUAAAGGGAGCUGGCCGGGGCCCCAGGGACCGGAGUCCACGCUAGUAGAGAUGCGGAGGCCUGUACUCGGAUCUGUUUCCCUUCACACACUGAAUGAUGGUCUCAUAAACUCAAAUGAAAGAGGGCACCCCCAACUGAAGGAACUUUGACCGUCCCCGGAGGCCCUGGGGGAGGCAGGCCCCCGUCAUGCUGCUGCAUCCCUGCCUCUGCGAAAUGUGAAAUGCACUGGCCCCGCUUUGAGAAGCUGGCCUGAGGUCACGCUCGCACCGUUCAUACAGGGGCGUCUCGACCAAGACUGUUUUCGGCUCAUCAAUGCAAAGGACCCUCAAGGACCGCCAGCAGGGGCAGUGAUGGGCCGACGUGGUGCCGAGCUUGCCCGUGGAUCAGGUGGCGGCCAACACGAGAGUGCAGUGGAAGCCUCCCGAGACGAGAUGCCAUCGUUCCGGAGGGCCCCGUGCGUCCCAAGUGGGAAACGAGGACGUGUCACCUCAGAUGCAGGAUAGUUUCCAGUUCAAGAUUUGAGGGAAAAAUGAUUUUCCCGCUCUGAUUUUUGGCGGCAGACGGCGUGGAUGGAGCCCCUUAGUGGGCGGUGUUGGCAGGUUUGCUCCUGUCCUCUGCCCGGGAGGCCUGCUGGCAGCUGGGGGCUGUGGUGGGAGGCGGCGGGGCUGGGGGCACAGGGCCGGGAUGGGGGGCCCUUCCAAGCUGGGAAAAACAUGCUGAGAAAAGGCAAAAGGGACAAAGGCCAGCAUCAGUCAGACGCCCCCGAGGAGCUCCAGGACAGGAGCUGCCCCUCCGCACAAGGAGAAGUGUGUGUGGGGGCUCAGUGCGGGCCCCCUGAGGGGCCAGGCUGGCUGGGGGGCUGUGCUGUGGAUGCAACGGGGAUCAGCCCCGGGGAGGCGAGUGGCCUGGCUUCUGCACCCCUGCCCAGGGGCCACUGCAGGUGGGCUUCCCCCACGCAGGGGGUGACCGUGGCCCAGGAGUGUCCUUCGGCCUGGGGCUCGGCCCCCGGGUGUCCAGGCAGCUGCCCUGCGUCUGCCACGCCCGUCCAGGACCUGAUUCCUUGGAAAGCAGCUACUGGAUCUUGUGGGGUGGCCAGCAGCUGUGUCCGUGGCCCAGGCCCAGGACUGGUCCACUCGCUCGGUCUUCCUCAGACAUUUUAUCCAAACCACACUCAGUGGAAGAGCUGCUGAAAAUGGGUCAAGAAGUUAUAAGAUUUACGUAGAUCUAGCUUAGAUAUAAAGACCUGAAAUGGGAUUCUAACAGUCCGGAUUCACGUGGCAGCGAACGUGAUGCAAGAAUCACAUUCUGGCAGAACUCCUCCCGGGGUGGGGCUGCUCGUGCUCCUGGCCACCGCGCUGGUCCGAGUGAACCUGAGACAGUCGUCGCUCAGGGCUCGAAAAAUUUCCCCAGUACACAGAAAAUAUUCUAUUUCAGUUCUCCUUUGGCAGAAAGGAGAGGUAGUCAGCCACACGAUCUCCGACGUUUGGAACGGCAACACGGAAAAUGUUACAUUUAAAAUUUAUAUUUUUUUAUAUUUUUAUAAGUUUUUAAAAUGUUAUGUCUGUAAAGAAGUCUACUUACAUCCUGACUCACGCAGUCCCUUUCUGAGAGGUGGGAUGGUAAGAAGGAUCCUGCAGGCUUGGUAAAGGGCUCUGGGUCCACCGUAGCAACCCGCAGGGGCUGCUGGGGGGCAGGAGUGGCUGCGUGGGGAGCUGUGCCCUCUGUGUGCCAGAGGCCCGUCUGGGACCUGAAGCUUGUGGAAAGGUGACCGUUCAGGAGAGAGAAGCGAGGGGCACCCGGGUGGCUCAUUCGGUUAAGCCUCUGCCUUCAGCUCAGGUGCUGGGAUUGAGUCCUGCCUUGGGCCCCC